This 243-nucleotide long non-coding RNA is filed under the name Ananas comosus (pineapple). RNAcentral describes it as "long non-coding RNA (ACOM_LNC007960)". The record is from RNAcentral. Lineage: Eukaryota; Viridiplantae; Streptophyta; Magnoliopsida; Poales; Bromeliaceae.
CACAUCAGUAAUCUGUAAUAGAGAACUUACGUAUUCAUUGCUGUUUCUAUUUCUAUUUUUAUUCUUAUAUUUAAAAUUUUUCGUACGGAAAGAGAAAAAUGGGCGUUAAUUUUUUCGCAGAAAAAUGGGUCUGUCGACAGAUCCAAAUUUGAAUAUACGUGCUUUUAUAUAUAUAUAUAUAUAUAUAUAUUAUAUAUUUUAUUUAUAAUUGAUCAGGAUUGGUACUCAGAAGAGAUUGGUGGA